ACUGUCUCCAGUUCUUUUGGUCUCACCCAUUGUCAUUUCAGUUAGCCUCCCUGAGGUGUUUUCAACUGCAAAGAUCUUGCUCUUGGUAACUCCUAAAUUCCAGUCCCACAUAAUGGUGUACCUCCUCAGCAUUUUCAAAUAUGACAAAUCUGAAGCUAUCCCCAUGGAGGUAGCUGUGUCUGGAAGACAGUAAGAGAUGUGUGUCCUCACAGAAGAGUCCAACAUGUCCAACGGCAUUGAUGUGGACAAAGGCUUUGCCAUUGCCUUUGUUGUUCUUGUGUUUGUGUUCCUAAUUGUGAUGGCUUUUCGGUGUGUAAAGUUGGUGAAGAAUCCCUAUGAGGUCAGCUCUACAACCGCAGAUCCGCCUCUGAGCUGAAGUACCAUCACACCUGGUGGUCGCCUCUCACGAGAGACUUGCAGUCUUUUUAUACCAGGGCGUCACUUUUAGCAGGCUCUUACACAGCCAAUGCUUGCCUCCAACCCCUGAUCCUUGUUUCUUCUUCACCUCCUAAACACCAGGACUACAAAGAAUGCUCCAUUGCAACAUUCAAACUCUUUUAUAUUGAUGUGUAUGAUCCAGACUUUAUAUUCCCUUACCUCUGCACUUCUCAACCUUGCCAUCUCCUGUUCUAUAACAAGCAUGUAAGAGUCAAGUAUCUCGCCAGAGAGAAAACUCGGGCUAUAUUUCAUUGUUCUUUUUCAGGGAAUCCAUUACUAAAGUUGAACUUAUUGACAAGA
This is a long non-coding RNA of Grammomys surdaster, 738 nucleotides long. RefSeq lists it as uncharacterized. The transcript has 2 exons. The record is from RefSeq and is a predicted model, not a curated record. Lineage: Eukaryota; Metazoa; Chordata; Mammalia; Rodentia; Muridae.